Molecule: RNA transcript, 5079 nt
Organism: Marmota monax (woodchuck)
Lineage: Eukaryota; Metazoa; Chordata; Mammalia; Rodentia; Sciuridae
Gene: Acsf3
Gene name: acyl-CoA synthetase family member 3
Exons: 8
Source: RefSeq, a predicted model, not a curated record
UCAGUGGCAGAGGUGCUGCCAACCACCUUCAGGGCCCUUGGCUGGGGCUGGGCUUGGUGUCCCAGGAAGCAGAGUGCUUCCACACAGUGAGGCCAGUGUGGGCCUCUAGUCUCCCUGACGGUGGGGGAGGGACUGGGAAGGUUCCAGUGACUCCGUCUGACUUAGGGUUGAGUGGCUUAGGACACAUCUGUAAAGCAGGGUUCAGCAUGGCUGUCCUGUUCCCUGAACCAGGGGCAGAGGGAGAAUCCCAAGACGCUGAAUGUUGUCAUCAUGUCCAAACACUGCUGUUGGAAGUCCCCCAACACAGUUGGGGUGCUGCUCUGAGAGCCACAAGUCACUGCCAGGUGGAGUGGCAGAGGCGGAGGAGGCUCCCCAGGGGCAAAGGCCAGGGCAGGAAGAAGCGGAGGAGCAAGGGACUUAGUGCCAGGGAGGGUGGCCAGCAGCACGGGGACAGUUUCAGUGAAUGGUAGCAAAGUCCAGGAUCACGGGAUCUCUUGGCUUCCACAUAAGCCGUCUUCCAUCUGAAGCCACGUGGACAGGCGCUGGCCUCUCAGUGGGUCUGGAAAGAGGCGCAAGUGCCUGUGGGUGGGUCCCCUGGCACCUCUUGAACUGGGCAGUCCCGCCCUGCCUCCCAGGGGCUUGGGUGUGUUUUGCGGAGAGGCAGAAGGAGCUUCCAACUUGAAGAGACUGGCGCCUGCCAGCCGGGUGAACUUUGUUCGUUAAAGCCCUGCUCUGCCGCCAGCUCCCCACGCUGCCUUUGGGCACAGGCCGUGACCCCUGGAGGAUGCUCGUCAGUGCCCUGCUACGCUGUGAGAGACUGCCCUUCCCGCGCCUGGCCUGGGCCUGGGCCUCCUCCUGGCCGACUCCCGGGAGACCCAGAGGAAGAGGCCUCCUGCACACGCCCCCCACAGCCCCCUCGGACAGGACUGCCCCUGUGUUUACCCGUGCCCUGGCCUUUGGGGACAGGCUUGCCCUGGUGGAUCAGCAUGGCCACCACACCUACAGGGACCUUUAUUACCGCAGCCUCCGCCUGUCUCGGGAGAUCUGCAGGCUCUGUAACUGUGUGGAUGGGGACCUCCGGGAGGAGAGGGUGUCCUUCCUGUGCGCCAAUGACGUCUCCUAUGUCAUUGCCCAGUGGGCCUCGUGGAUGAGUGGCGGCAUCGCGGUCCCCCUGUUCCGGAAGCACCCGGAGGCCCAGCUGGAGUACUUCAUCCGGGACUCACGGAGCUCUGUGGUUGUGGCCGGCCAGGAGUACGUGGAGCUGCUGCGCCCAGUGGUCAGACGGCUGGGGGUCCCGCUCCUGCCUCUCUCACCUGCCAUCUACCUUGAGGCAGCAGAGAAGCCGGCAGAGGGGCAGGGGCAGGGGCAGCAGUGGGAGUGGGAGUGGCGAGACCGGGGCGCCAUGAUCUUCUACACCAGCGGGACCACAGGGAGGCCCAAGGGCGCUCUGAGCACCCACCGCAACAUAGCAGCCGUGGUUACUGGGCUGGUCCACGCUUGGGCAUGGACCAGAGACGAUGUGAUCCUCCACGUCCUCCCUCUGCACCAUGUCCAUGGCGUGGUCAACAAGCUGCUCUGUCCACUCUGGGUGGGAGCCACCUGCGUCAUGCUGCCUGAAUUCAGUGCUCAGCAGGUCUGGGAGAAGUUCUUGAGCUCUGAGACUCCCCGGAUUAACAUGUUUAUGGCGGUGCCCACGAUAUACGCCAAGCUGCUGGGAUACUAUGACCAGCACUUCACCCAGCCUCACGUCCGGGACUUUGUGCGUGCCAUUUGUGAAGAAAACAUCAGGCUGAUGGUAUCAGGCUCGGCUGCCCUGCCCACCCCUCUGCUAGAGCAGUGGAAGCACGCCACUGGCCACACGCUGCUGGAGCGCUACGGCAUGACUGAGAUCGGCAUGGCCCUGUCCAACCCGCUGGCCGAAACUCGCCUGCCAGGUUCUGUGGGGAGCCCGCUGCCCGGAGUGGAAGUGCGCAUCGUCUCUGAGGGCCUGCAGAAGGAGGGCUGCCCCUACGCCGUCCACGCGGAGGGAGAUGAGAGAGGGACAAAGGACAUGGACAGUGCAGCUGGCCCAGGCACACCCUGCUCCCCUGAGGCUCCCUGGGGCCCAAGGGCGUCACCAUGGCCUGCUAAGCAGCCCAGGACAGCACAGGGACCCAUUCAGAAAGGUGCAACUGGAGGGUACUGUCACUGUCCCAGAGCCCCACAGCCUCGGGUGCCCUUGCUGCUGAAUGAGGGUGGCCCAGUUUCCGGUUCACUCUGCAGUUGGCAGGGGCAGCCCGGGAGGGCCGUCAUCUCAUGUCAGCAAGGGUUAAGAGCUAAACACCCACCCGUCGCAAGGACCUCAGGUCAAGAAAGCUGGGACCCCCAGGACGUGGAAUUCCGGGCUGGUGACAGGCUGGGUGUGGCGUCCACUGACCUGUCGCCUGAGCAGGGUUCCUGUCCCUGUGCCCGGGGCUGGCAGCCUCGGCUCUGCGUGACUGCUCGCCUGCAGAGGCAGCCAGGUAGGUGCGUGUGGGCGUGGCCUCAGUGUGGCAGCCCGUCCUUGGUGGGCUUGGCCACACCUUGGUUUCUGAGCUUGCUGGGGACGGUCACUGGCGCACUGUCCCGCAAGUGGGUGAGAGCUGGUGGCCCAAGAGUGAGCUGAGCAUCAGGAAGACUGGAGCCAGCCGUGCCUCUCGCCUGCCUGGGGCUGCCUGGGGGCCUCGCUGAGCUCUGUCCUCUGUGUCCUCCCUCCUGGCCUCUCAGGGGCUCCUGGCUCCAUGGUCUACCCAGUCCUGAAACCCGCCUGUUUCCACUGCUCUGGGCCGCCUGCCUUUCGCCUUCUGGCCUCGGGUUGGAGCCCGACUGCCCUCUGCUGGGCCUCGGCUGUGCUGAGCCAGGGAUGUUGGCCACGCCUGGGUCUAGUGUGUAAACUCCCCAGUGCCCGCCUCCCCUGGCACCCUGCUCACACCCAGGUCUCAGGCCACCUUGCUUGGCUGGUCCCGCCCCCUGCAGCAAGGGGCUGGGCUUGGACACUGGCUCAGGGCACGUCUCUCAGGAAUGUCCCAGCAGGGCAGUGGUGGUGAGGUAGGUACCUGCACCGUCCGGCCUCCCAGGUGUCCUCAGUGCUGGGCUCAGCCUCAGGGACACCUAUUGUGCAGGAAGUGGCAGAAACAUUGCCAAAGAAAGGGGUGGGGCAAGGGCAGGUGGGCCGUGGUAGCAGCCACUCCCCAGCAGCUCCCAGGCCCGGCUCUGCCGGCGGCCUUCCCUGAGGCGCUGCAGGCAGAAAGGAGCACAGCCCUGCCCCCAGGAUGCUGGACAGCCAGAGGCCACACGGCCACAGACAGGCCUGGCCACAGACAGGCCUGCGAGGUGCCUGCGAGGGGACAGGGGCGUGCGAUGGCGAGGGAGCUCAGCAGACACUGAGGGACAGGCCGCGAUCCAGAGGCAGCAUCUUCUAGAACCUUCUAGGCCAGGGCCACCUCUGCUGGAGGCUGAGCCCUUCGUGGGGAGCACAGCCAGACGGCUGCUUCCUCCCUGCCUGCAGGAGACACUCCAGACACGGGGCCCAGGCUGCUCUGGGGUUCCUGCCAUGGCUGUGCAGCGCAUGCCUCAGGCAGGGCAGGGUGGGGUGGCACUGCCCAGGCUGAGGGCCUCUCUGCCGUGUCCCAUGGGAAGGCCUGCCCGCCCCCUCUCGCUCAGCCGCCUAACCCAGCCAGACGUGGUGCCCCACUCACCACACCCAGGCCGGGGCUCCCCCGCUCAACUGUGCAGCUGGAUCAGCACUGUCAGGACUUGUGCCCUUUGCCUGGUGAGCUGUGUGGCUUGUGGCCUCCCUUCCCCAGGACUUCCCUCCCUGUGGCCUCCCCUGUGGGCUCCCUUCUCUGUGGCCUCCCUUCCCUGAGGCUGGUCCCACUGGAAUCGGCUGCCUCUGGCUGUCUUCAGGACGGCUCUGGAGCCUGCCUCCCGGCUCUGGGCAGGUGGUCACGGCCCCCGAAUGGCAGGAGGGUGCUGUGCUUUUCAGUGCAAAAGCCUCGCAGGGUGUGUCCCGCUGCCUGCCUCAGCCAGGCCUACGCAGGCUGCGCGUCCUCCUCGCCUCCCAGGUGGGCCGCCGGCCUCUGCCUUCUGUUCUGUCAUGGGGAGCCUGGCCUGGGGUCAAGUACAGGGCUUGGGCUUCUUCCAUGUGUGUGCACAGGACACACAUGUUCUCUGGUCUUGAGCCGCGUGUGUGUUUUCACCCGACUUAAGACCCGAAUGCUGUUGCUUGGGAGCUGAGUCUCCGAGAACAGAUUUACUGUCAGGGCUUGUCUUCACUCCUCCAUGAUGGGCAGCGCCCACUGCACCCGGCCUUCGGGCACAUGGCAGGGAGGAGAGGCCUGAGGAGCCGUUGCAGGCAGACAGCAGUCACAAACAGGUGGCCUGCGUCUGCCAGGUCCACAGACAGGACGGUGGACAAUGGUGGGCCUGCCCAGGGACGCUGGCCAGUGGGGCAUGCACAGCCUACCCCGCCCUCUAAAGGUCACUCCGCCUUUGUGAGUGGUCGUGGCAACUGGGGGCUGUGUGGUCUUUGUGCUCAGGCCCCAGGGCCCUUCCUAGGAUGCCAGGCCCUGAUGACCUCUGCCCUCUGCUCUUGACCUGACCCACACAUGCCACCCACCUGUGCCAGCAGUGGCCACUGUGGAGACAGGACAUGGCCCCGGGCCAUGCCAAGGAGCAGCCUCACCAUGGUGCUGAUGCCCAGAGGGUCGAAGCCCACUGGGGCUCUGUGUGGAGCCCACCAGGAAGGAGCAGCAUGGCCUGUGGUGCCCGGGAGCAGCCCUCGUAGAGAGACCUCCUGGUGCCUAGAGCACCCAGCACUCGGGGCUCCAGAGUCCCCGCCGGUUUCAAAUCAAGGCCCCUCACAGAUUCUGCAAGUGCCUAUUGAUUGCAACAGUGCUCGGCAGUGGACAUCAGGCAGUGGACACUGGGGCAGCAGGUGUCCCCGGGGUUUGAAGAGAAGGAAGGGGAGCUGCUGGUCAGGGGACCCUCUGUGUUCCGAGAAUACUGGGACAAACCAGAAGAGACAAGAAGUGCGUUCACCUCGGACGGCUGGUUUAAGAC